Molecule: ribosomal RNA, 468 nt
Filed under: uncultured bacterium
Lineage: Bacteria
Description: partial 16S ribosomal RNA
Rfam family: Bacterial small subunit ribosomal RNA
Source: RNAcentral
GACGAACGCUGGCGGCGUGCUUAACACAUGCAAGUCGAACGGAAAGGCCCUGCUUUUGUGGGGUGCUCGAGUGGCGAACGGGUGAGUAACACGUGAGUAACCUGCCCUUGACUUUGGGAUAACUUCAGGAAACUGGGGCUAAUACCGGAUAGGAGCUCCUGCUGCAUGGUGGGGGUUGGAAAGUUUCGGCGGUUGGGGAGGGACUCGCGGCUUAUCAGCUUGUUGGUGGGGUAGUGGCUUACCAAGGCUUUGACGGGUAGCCGGCCUGAGAGGGUGACCGGCCACAUUGGGACUGAGAUACGGCCCAGACUCCUACGGGAGGCAGCAGUGGGGAAUAUUGCACAAUGGGCGGAAGCCUGAUGCAGCAACGCCGCGUGCGGGAUGAUGGCCUUCGGGUUGUAAACCGCUUUCGCCUGUGACGAAGCGUGAGUGACGGUAAUGGGUAAAGAAGCACCGGCUAACUACGUG